AGAGUUUGAUCCUGGCUCAGGACGAACGCUGGCGGCGUGCCUAAUACAUGCAAGUCGAGCGCAGGAAGCAAGCUGAUCCCCUUCGGGGGUGACGCUUGUGGAUUGAGCGGCGGACGGGUGAGUAACACGUGGGCAACCUGCCUGUAAGACUGGGAUAACCCCGGGAAACCGGGGCUAAUACCGGAUAAUACUUUCUUUUGCAUAAAGGAAAGUUGAAAGGCGGCUUCGGCUGUCACUUACAGAUGGGCCCGCGGCGCAUUAGCUAGUUGGUGAGGUAACGGCUCACCAAGGCGACGAUGCGUAGCCGACCUGAGAGGGUGAUCGGCCACACUGGGACUGAGACACGGCCCAGACUCCUACGGGAGGCAGCAGUAGGGAAUCUUCCGCAAUGGACGAAAGUCUGACGGAGCAACGCCGCGUGAGUGAUGAAGGUUUUCGGGUCGUAAAACUCUGUUGUUAGGGAAGAACAAGUUGGGUAGUAACUGACCCAACCUUGACGGUACCUAACCAGAAAGCCACGGCUAACUACGUGCCAGCAGCCGCGGUAAUACGUAGGUGGCAAGCGUUGUCCGGAAUUAUUGGGCGUAAAGCGCUCGCAGGCGGUCCUUUAAGUCUGAUGUGAAAUCUCGCGGCUCAACCGCGAACGGUCAUUGGAAACUGGAGGACUUGAGUACAGAAGAGGAGAGUGGAAUUCCACGUGCAGCGGUGAAAUGCGUAGAGAUGUGGAGGAACACCAGUGGCGAAGGCGACUCUCUGGUCUGU
Molecule: ribosomal RNA, 762 nt
Filed under: uncultured halophilic eubacterium
Lineage: Bacteria
Description: bacterial SSU rRNA
Rfam family: Bacterial small subunit ribosomal RNA
Source: RNAcentral